Molecule: ribosomal RNA, 207 nt
Filed under: uncultured bacterium
Lineage: Bacteria
Description: partial 16S ribosomal RNA
Rfam family: Bacterial small subunit ribosomal RNA
Source: RNAcentral
CUCGUAGGUGGCCAACUAAGUCAGACGUGAAAUCCCUCGGCUUAACCGGGGAACUGCGUCUGAUACUGGAUGGCUUGAGUUCGGGAGAGGGAUGCGGAAUUCCAGGUGUAGCGGUGAAAUGCGCAGAUAUCAGGAGGAACACCGAUUGCGAAGGCAGCUCGCUGGGACGUGACUGACGCUGAGACGCGAAAGCGUGGGGAGCAAACA